RNAcentral lists this unclassified non-coding RNA (1126 nucleotides) under Hevea brasiliensis (rubber tree). Lineage: Eukaryota; Viridiplantae; Streptophyta; Magnoliopsida; Malpighiales; Euphorbiaceae. The record is from RNAcentral.
GAAAACCACAAGCGUAUUGCUCCACUUUUACGUUUUUUCUCUUCUCAAAGUGAAAAUGAGAUGAUCAGCUUGGAUGAAUAUGUUGAGAACAUGAAACCAGACCAGAAUGAUAUUUACUAUAUUGCUUCUGAUAGUGUGACGAGUGCAAGGAACACUCCUUUCCUGGAAAAACUUCUUGAGAAAGAUCUUGAAGUUCUGUUCUUAGUUGAUCCCAUUGACGAGGUUGCGGUCCAAAAUCUCAAAGCAUUUAAGGAGAAAAACUUCGUUGACAUUAGCAAAGAGGACCUAGAUUUAGGUGAUAAGAAUGAAGAUAAGGAAAAGGAGAUAAAACAGGAGUUUGGGCAAACAUGUGAUUGGAUAAAGAAACGGCUAGGGGACAAGGUUGCUAGUGUACAAAUCUCGAGUCGUUUGAGCAGUUCUCCUUGUGUUCUUGUAUCAGGAAAGUUUGGUUGGUCAGCUAAUAUGGAGAGGCUGAUGAAGGCCCAAACUGUUGGUGAUACCUCCAACCUGGAUUUCAUGAGGAGUAGAAGAGUCUUUGAAAUCAAUCCUGAACACCCUAUCAUUAGAACCUUAACUGAAGCCUGCAGGAGUACUCCAGAUGAUGAAGAGGCCUUGAGGGCCAUUGAUCUUUUGUACGAUGCUGCAUUGGUUUCUAGUGGAUUUACUCCUGAGAAUCCAGCACAACUGGGAGGGAAGAUAUAUGAAAUGAUGAACUUUGCCCUUGCUGGCAAGUGGGGAACUGUCCCCGAGUAUCAGCAACAAGCAAUCCAGCAGCCACACAUCCCAGAAACAGUCGAAGCAGAGAUCGUUGAGCCUGUUGAAGCUGGUGGACAGAAAUAAAAUCAAUAAUUUUCCUUUAGUUUGUAAUAUAUAAUAGUUGAGGCUUCUGAGAGAGAUAAUAUUGAGACCCUAUUGAUGAGCAGAUCAGUCUGAAGAAAAAGGCUACUUAUUAAGCAUUAUCAUUCCGUUGAAUUGAAAUCUAAAUAGAGCAGGAAUCUCGUUUAUUACUAUUCUAAUGGAGCUUCGUUUUUUUGGGGUUCUUAAUGGAGGUUCAAUUUCUUGGUGAUCUUUUGGAAAGCAAUUUCCUGUAUCAGACCUGUAAGAGCAACAUUCCAGCUUACAUUCA